UAUUUCUUUCAUGGAGCUUGUUUUUCACCGGUGAAAAUAUGGAAAAGUUAACUUACAUAAGAGAUGAGGAAAAAUUAUAUGAAGCUAUCACUAUAAAACAUGGACGAGGGCUAAUAUGGAGAAGGAAGACUAUUCCGAAGAAUGCUGAACCACCACCACCAGGUCCUCCAAGGAACAAAGGCCAAAACCCCUAGCUAGUACGCAAAUACCAAUGUCAAAAGAGAAUAUUGCAUAUUGGUAUUUUGGUUCACUUGUAAGAUUCCAAUAAUCUCUAGAAAAUUGACUUGUUAUUUGUGUAAUAACACAUUAUGAGAAUGAAGAUUAGGGUUGGUUGAACCCUAGGCCACUUAGUCAA
Molecule: long non-coding RNA, 355 nt
Organism: Quercus robur (English oak)
Lineage: Eukaryota; Viridiplantae; Streptophyta; Magnoliopsida; Fagales; Fagaceae
Exons: 2
Source: RefSeq, a predicted model, not a curated record